This 81-nucleotide unclassified non-coding RNA is filed under the name Chishuiella changwenlii. RNAcentral describes it as "Flavo-1 RNA". Lineage: Bacteria; Pseudomonadati; Bacteroidota; Flavobacteriia; Flavobacteriales; Weeksellaceae. The record is from RNAcentral.
UAAUAGCGUUAGGGGGUGAAGCGGCAUCCUUUUACGAAGCGAAUAGCGAAGUAAAAGAUAUAGCGGAAGACCCGACCGAAG